UGGAUUUACAGUCUUUGAGCGUGCCUUCUCUAAAGGAUUUUCCCAAGAGAGCACGCCUGAAAGGUGAUACCUUUCACAGGGGCGUUUGGAAACGGAUUGCCCUGCCAUUUGCAAAAAAGAGUGUAGGUGACAAAU
Molecule: non-coding RNA, 135 nt
Filed under: Sporobacter termitidis
Lineage: Bacteria; Bacillati; Bacillota; Clostridia; Eubacteriales; Oscillospiraceae
Also listed under: 1 other name
Description: MoCo sequence
Rfam family: Molybdenum/Tungsten riboswitch aptamer (Moco RNA motif)
Source: RNAcentral